RNA transcript from Drosophila persimilis, 793 nucleotides. It is a transcript of the gene named N-alpha-acetyltransferase 20, with no coding region annotated. The record is from RefSeq and is a predicted model, not a curated record. NCBI's taxonomy places the organism in Eukaryota, Metazoa, Arthropoda, Insecta, Diptera, Drosophilidae. The transcript has 7 exons.
UUAGUGAGAAUGACUACGCUGAGACCCUUCACUUGUGACGAUCUUUUCAAAUUCAACAAUGUGAAUUUCGACCCACUUACGGAAACCUACGGACUCUCCUUCUAUACACAGUACCUGGCGAAGUGGCCGGAGUACUUUCAGCUGGCCGAAUCCCCUAGUGGUCAAAUAAUGGGCUACAUUAUGGGCAAAGUAGAGGGACACCUGGACAACUGGCACGGACAUGUGACGGCUCUAACUGUGUCGCCCGACUACAGACGGCUCGGUCUAGCUGCCCUAUUGAUGAACUUCUUGGAAGACAUAUCGGAGAAGAAGCGGGCGUACUUUGUAGAUCUGUUCGUGCGCAAGAGCAACCAGGUGGCAAUUAACAUGUACAAGAACCUAGGCUACAUCAUCUACCGCACCAUACUCGAAUACUACUCGGGCGAUCAGGACGAGGAUGCGUAUGAUAUGAGAAAGGCCCUAUCGAGGGAUGUCAACAAGAAAUCGGUGAUACCGUACACGCAACCUAUUUCUUAAGCCGCAUCGGUAAAUAACCAUGUUUGAAUAGAAUGUUCAACACGUCUAAAGAUCACAAUGCGCGAGCUGCGCCACCAAACCAAUCACUAGCUCUAGCAGCAAUACACAUUAGUUCAUUCAUUCAAAUACAUAAACGUAUCGUAUAUUUCUGGAAAACAAAUUCCCAUUAAGGUGUUUAUCGACGAUUUCUGAAUUUUGAAAGACUAUGUUUGCCCAAAAUUGUAACACAUCAGUACAUAUGUAUUUAGAUUUUAAAAAUUAAACAUGUUCAACAGCA